GAUGAACGCUGGCGGCGUGCCUAAUACAUGCAAGUCGAGCGAACGGACGAGAAGCUUGCUUUUCUGAUGUUAGCGGCGGACGGGUGAGUAACACGUGGAUAACCUACCUAUAAGACUGGGAUAACUUCGGGAAACCGGAGCUAAUACCGGAUAAUAUUUUGAACCGCAUGGUUCAAAAGUGAAAGACGGUCUUGCUGUCACUUAUAGAUGGAUCCGCGCUGCAUUAGCUAGUUGGUAAGGUAACGGCUUACCAAGGCAACGAUGCAUAGCCGACCUGAGAGGGUGAUCGGCCACACUGGAACUGAGACACGGUCCAGACUCCUACGGGAGGCAGCAGUAGGGAAUCUUCCGCAAUGGGCGAAAGCCUGACGGAGCAACGCCGCGUGAGUGAUGAAGGUCUUCGGAUCGUAAAACUCUGUUAUUAGGGAAGAACAUAUGUGUAAGUAACUGUGCACAUCUUGACGGUACCUAAUCAGAAAGACACGGCUAACUACGUG
This 497-nucleotide ribosomal RNA is filed under the name uncultured bacterium. Its description in RNAcentral is "partial 16S ribosomal RNA". It matches the Rfam family "Bacterial small subunit ribosomal RNA", at positions 28 to 507 of the family's 1533-position model. The record is from RNAcentral.